GAGGAAAAGAAACCAACAGGGAUUGCCUCAGUAACGGCGAGUGAAGCGGCAAAAGCUCAAAUUUUAAAGCUGGCAUCUUCGGUGUCCGCGUUGUAAUUUUGUGAGGCAUCUCCGGGUAGGGCGCCGGCCUAAGUUCCUUGGAACAGGACGUCACAGAGGGUGAGAAUCCCGUGCUUGGCUGGCUGUCCCCGUCCAUGUGAGGUGUCUUCGACGAGUCGAGUUGUUUGGGAAUGCAGCUCAAAAUGGGUGGUAAAUUUCAUCUAAAGCUAAAUAUUGGUGGGAGACCGAUAGCGCACAAGUAGAGUGAUCGAAAGAUGAAAAGCACUUUGAAAAUAGAGUUAAAAAGUACGUGAAAUUGUUGAAAGGGAAGCGCUUGAGAUCAGACUUCGGUAGGGGGUGAUCAGCCGUCCUUCUGGGCGGUGCACUUGCCCCCUCUCCGGGCCAGCAUCGGUUGAGGCGGCGGGAUAAAGGUCCCGGGAAUGUGGCUCCUUCGCGGGAGUGUUAUAGCCCGGGUGAAUGCCGCCAGUCUCGACCGAGGACCGCACCCGCAAGGGUUAGGAUGCUUGGCAUAAUGGUCUUCAGCGACCCGUCUUGAAACACGGA
Molecule: ribosomal RNA, 603 nt
Filed under: Morchella importuna
Lineage: Eukaryota; Fungi; Ascomycota; Pezizomycetes; Pezizales; Morchellaceae
Description: partial large subunit ribosomal RNA
Rfam family: Eukaryotic large subunit ribosomal RNA
Source: RNAcentral